RNAcentral lists this ribosomal RNA (322 nucleotides) under uncultured eukaryote. RNAcentral's name for it is "partial 18S ribosomal RNA". It matches the Rfam family "Eukaryotic small subunit ribosomal RNA", at positions 1470 to 1796 of the family's 1831-position model. The record is from RNAcentral.
CCCUUAGAUGUUCUGGGCCGCACGCGUGCUACACUGAGUGGAUCAGCGGGUCAGGUUGCGCGAAAGCGUUUCCUAAUCUUUAAAUCCGCUCGUGAUGGGGAUUGACGGUUGCAAUUUUCUGUCAUGAACGAGGAAUACCUUGUAAGCGCGGGUCAUCAUCCCGCGCUGAAUACGUCCCUGCCCUUUGUACACACCGCCCGUCGCUCCUACCGAUUGAGUGGUCCGGUGAGGCUUUGGGAUCUGAGCGGAAAGAGCGUUUCGCUGUUUCUGCUCGGAAAACUCAGUCGAACCUUAUCAUCUAGAGGAAGGAGAAGUCGUAACA